This 563-nucleotide long non-coding RNA is filed under the name Homo sapiens (human). RNAcentral describes it as "HSALNT0312789". The record is from RNAcentral. Lineage: Eukaryota; Metazoa; Chordata; Mammalia; Primates; Hominidae.
AAAUGAUUAUUAUUCUUCAAGAAGAAAUCCACUAACAGCAUCCUUUUCAGAAUGAAGAUCUGAAAAGGAAGAGAUUAUCUCCUCUUUAAUGCUGUAUCCCAAAGCCUAGAAGAACCAGAGACUUACUAGCUAAUCAAUAAAUAUUGCUGAGUAAAUAAAUGACAGACAUUUGCAUGCAGGCCUCAAGGAGCAGCUGAAGUGAUAGAGGUAGAAUGAGGCAAUAAAUUAUUAGCAAAGAGAGCGGAGUAUUUACAGGCAGCGAUAUACUAAUGAACCUAAAAAUUUGGAGAAUAUUUGGAAAAAUAAAAGAGCUUGCAUCCCUGGAAUGCAACGAAAAGAAAAGUGCUCAAAAAGUGAUAAUAUACACAGUGUCAAUUUGUUCACUGCUUUUUUGGAAUGUUUGAAAUUUAUUGUAAGUAGAUCAUUUAUCCAUUAGAGUGACUAAGUGUUUUAAGAGUAUAGUUCUAUAAUCCCAUUCAAUUAGCUUUUAUUUAAUGGGUUCCUUCUGGUGGUGGACAUUUGAGUUGUUUACAGUUAUUAAGAAUAAAACUACUAUAAACAUA